AGAGUUUGAUCAUGGCUCAGAUUGAACGCUGGCGGCAUGCUUAAUACAUGCAAGUCGAACGGUAACAGAUUCUUCGGAAUGCUGACGAGUGGCGGACGGGUGAGUAAUACAUAGGAAUCUGCCCAUGUAGUGGGGGACAACUUGGGGAAACUCAAGCUAAUACCGCAUAAUUCCUACGGGAUAAAGAGGGCCACUGCUUGCAAGCUCUUGCUACUGGAUGAGCCUAUGUCGGAUUAGUUAGUUGGUAAGGUAAUGGCUUACCAAGACAGCGAUCCGUAGCUGGUUUGAGAGGAUGAUCAGCCACACUGGGACUGAGACACGGCCCAGACUCCUACGGGAGGCAGCAGUAGGGAGUAUUGGACAAUAGGCGCAAGCCUGAUCCAGCAAUGCCGCGUGUGUGAAGAAGGCCUGCGGGUUGUAAAACACUUUCAAUUGGGAAGAAAGAUUAUGAGUUAAUACCUUAUAAUAUUGACGU
RNAcentral lists this ribosomal RNA (475 nucleotides) under uncultured bacterium. RNAcentral describes it as "bacterial SSU rRNA". It matches the Rfam family "Bacterial small subunit ribosomal RNA", at positions 8 to 475 of the family's 1533-position model. The record is from RNAcentral.